AGAGAUAGGGCUUUCCCUUCGGGGACAGAGUGACAGGUGGUGCAUGGUUGUCGUCAGCUCGUGUCGUGAGAUGUUGGGUUAAGUCCCGCAACGAGCGCAACCCUUGAUCUUAGUUGCCAGCAUUUAGUUGGGCACUCUAAGGUGACUGCCGGUGACAAACCGGAGGAAGGUGGGGAUGACGUCAAAUCAUCAUGCCCCUUAUGACCUGGGCUACACACGUGCUACAAUGGACAGAACAAAGGGCUGCGAGACCGCAAGGUUUAGCCAAUCCCAUAAAUCUGUUCUCAGUUCGGAUCGCAGUCUGCAACUCGACUGCGUGAAGCUGGAAUCGCUAGUAAUCGCGGAUCAGCAUGCCGCGGUGAAUACGUUCCCGGGCCUUGUACACACCGCCCGUCACACCACGAGAGUUUGUAACACCCGAAGUCGGUGAGGUAACCUUUAUGGAGCCAGCCGCCGAAGGUGGGACAGAUGAUUGGGGUGAAGUCGUAACAAGGUAGCCGUAUCGGAAGGUGCGGCU
RNAcentral lists this ribosomal RNA (517 nucleotides) under Bacillus pumilus. RNAcentral's name for it is "bacterial SSU rRNA". It matches the Rfam family "Bacterial small subunit ribosomal RNA", at positions 1002 to 1519 of the family's 1533-position model. Lineage: Bacteria; Bacillati; Bacillota; Bacilli; Caryophanales; Bacillaceae. The record is from RNAcentral.